GCAUUAAUGGGGUAGUGGUAACCUGGGUCGUUGCCAUUAGACAAUGUCGACCCGCCGGGAGUUCGAUUCUCUCUUAAUGCA
RNAcentral lists this transfer RNA (81 nucleotides) under Collybia nuda. RNAcentral describes it as "Lepista nuda tRNA-Gly". It matches the Rfam family "tRNA". Rfam says of the family: Transfer RNA (tRNA) molecules are approximately 80 nucleotides in length. Their secondary structure includes four short double-helical elements and three loops (D, anti-codon, and T loops). The record is from RNAcentral. Lineage: Eukaryota; Fungi; Basidiomycota; Agaricomycetes; Agaricales; Clitocybaceae.